Molecule: ribosomal RNA, 459 nt
Filed under: uncultured bacterium
Lineage: Bacteria
Description: partial 16S ribosomal RNA
Rfam family: Bacterial small subunit ribosomal RNA
Source: RNAcentral
CCUACGGGAGGCAGCAGUGAGGAAUAUUGGUCAAUGGUCGGGAGACUGAACCAGCCAAGCCGCGUGAGGGAUGAAGGUACAGCGUAUCGUAAACCUCUUUUGUCAGGGAACAAAGGCGGGGACGCGUCCCCGGAUGAGUGUACCUGAAGAAAAAGCAUCGGCUAACUCCGUGCCCGCAGCCGCGGUAAUAGGGAGGAUGCGAGCGUUAUCCGGAUUUAUGGGGUUUAAAGGGUGCGCAGGCGGUUUGUUAAGUCAGCGGUCAAAGACCGGGGCCAAAACCCGGCCCGCCGUUGAAACUGGCAGUCUCGAGUUGGAGAGAAGUAUGCGGAAUGCGCGGUGUAGCGGUGAAAUGCAUAGAUAUCGCGCAGAACUCCGAUUGCGAAGGCAGCAUGCCGGCUCCACACUGACGCUGAGGCACGAAAGCGUGGGUAUCGAACAGGAUUAGAUACCCCGGUAGUC